AACGCGAAGAACCUUACCUACUCUUGACAUCCUAGGAAUUUUGUAGAGAUACGAAAGUGCCGAAAGGAACCUAGAGACAGGUGCUGCAUGGCUGUCGUCAGCUCGUGUUGUGAGAUGUUGGGUUAAGUCCCGUAACGAGCGCAACCCUUAUCCUUAGUUACCAGCGCGUUAUGGCGGGGACUCUAAGGAGACUGCUGGUGAUGAACCGGAGGAAGGUGGGGACGACGUCAAGUCAUCAUGGCCUUUAUGGGUAGGGCUACACACGUGCUACAAUGGGCAGUACAGAGGGAAGCCAACCCGCGAGGGGGAGCCAAUCUCACAAAGCUGUUCGUAGUCCAGAUUGGAGUCUGCAACUCGACUCCAUGAAGUUGGAAUCGCUAGUAAUCGCGAAUCAGAAUGUCGCGGUGAAUACGUUCCCGGGCCUUGUACACACCGCACUAC
RNAcentral lists this ribosomal RNA (441 nucleotides) under uncultured bacterium. Its description in RNAcentral is "bacterial SSU rRNA". It matches the Rfam family "Bacterial small subunit ribosomal RNA", at positions 958 to 1398 of the family's 1533-position model. The record is from RNAcentral.